CACCCAUAUGAUCCCAUAGACUUCUUUUAAAAAUUUCAAUCUGGAAAACGAAUGGCUGGCUUAUAGUUCUAUUGUAUUAUCAAUUAUCAUUUUAAAGAUCAACUUCUUCCAUAAUGAUAUCCAUACUACCUCGUAUCGUCGUAAUAUCAGCAAAUUUCAUUUUUUAACUAACUGAGGCAAAAUUUGCAAGUUGAUAAAACCUAGUGGCGAAUUUUCCAUCUCCAAGGAAAAACACUAUGAUGUCCUAUCAGAAAAAUUCUAAAUUCUCCUUUUGGUGCUUCGAAUCUCACAUAAAGUUCUUGUUUGGACAACUCAAAAGUUGGAGAAGGUUUUUUUACUAAUAAAUUGAUAUUCAAAAUCAUUCCAUUCAAUAUCUCUUACUCUAUCAAAGCGUCGAAUUCGGCCAUAGAAUUCCUUUCGGACCCUGUUGGAUAAUUUUUAUGGAUUCUGCCAUUUCACUGAAUCGUACUAAAUAACGAGCUGAUGAAUUUCCUUCUUUUUGCCAUUGAACCUCCCAGUCAAAUUCAUUGUAACACUGAAGAUCUCAUUGUAUUUCGGAAGCUCGUAGCAUUGGUCAUGAUAAACCCCAAUUUAGUGCUUUUCUCAUCCAAUAAUGUCUAUGCCCUCAACUCGUUCUAAAAAGUAGGAUUUCGUGUAAUAAGCUUUUGAUAUUCCACAACCCCUAUUAAACAAUAAUUGCAAAAAUCCAAACAUUUAUCUAUCGAUCCAUAAGGUAGAAUAGUGGCUAUUCUUUCGAUACAAAAAUAAUUAUGCAUCAUUUGCAUACCGAUAGCAACUUUGAUUAGGUCAUAUAUCAAUUCUCGUUCUCAAAAAAUCUAGAAGAAAGGGGUCUGUGCCACAAUAUCUGCCAUAAAAGGACCAAGCCAUAA
RNAcentral lists this long non-coding RNA (890 nucleotides) under Olea europaea subsp. europaea. Lineage: Eukaryota; Viridiplantae; Streptophyta; Magnoliopsida; Lamiales; Oleaceae. The record is from RNAcentral.